RNAcentral lists this small RNA (352 nucleotides) under Clostridium sp. Its description in RNAcentral is "transfer-messenger RNA". It matches the Rfam family "transfer-messenger RNA". From Rfam's summary of the family: Bacterial tmRNA, also known as 10Sa RNA or SsrA, is named for its dual tRNA and mRNA-like properties. Its role is to liberate the mRNA from a stalled ribosome. The record is from RNAcentral. RNAcentral also lists the same sequence under 4 other names. Lineage: Bacteria; Bacillati; Bacillota; Clostridia; Eubacteriales; Clostridiaceae.
GGGGGCGUACAUGGUUUCGACGGGGAUCAUGGAUGCCGGAUAAGCGAGUCGAAGCCCCGAGCUUCGCUAAAAUCGGGAAAACUUAAAAAUAAACGACGAAUCUAAUUUCGUACCCGUCGCUGCUUAAUUAGCGACUGUCCGCCCGUAGUUGCCCACGACUGCGGAUACGGGCAUCAUCAAUGUGGGGAACCAGCCUGGGAGUGUCUUGGCUCGGGUGGGAUUAAGAGACUACUAAAGCCGUAACCCUGUUGGUGGGGGUGCGGCUGAGGGAAUGUUAAAACACCGACUACGCUCGUAGAAAGUCUUGCAGACAGGUUUUCGGACAGGGGUUCGACUCCCCUCGCUUCCACCA